AGUGAACGCUGGCGGUAGGCCUAGCACAUGCAAGUCGAACGGCAGCACAGUAAGAGCUUGCUCUUACGGGUGGCGAGUGGCGGACGGGUGAGGAAUACAUCGGAAUCUACUUUUUCGUGGGGGAUAACGUAGGGAAACUUACGCUAAUACCGCAUACGACCUACGGGUGAAAGCAGGGGAUCUUCGGACCUUGCGCGAUUGAAUGAGCCGAUGUCGGAUUAGCUAGUUGGCGGGGUAAAGGCCCACCAAGGCGACGAUCCGUAGCUGGUCUGAGAGGAUGAUCAGCCACACUGGAACUGAGACACGGUCCAGACUCCUACGGGAGGCAGCAGUGGGGAAUAUUGGACAAUGGGCGCAAGCCUGAUCCGGCCAUACCGCGUGGGUGAAGAAGGCCUUCGGGUUGUAAAGCCCUUUUGUUGGGAAAGAAAAGCAGCAGGUUAAUACCCCGCUGUUCUGACGGUACCCAAAGAAUAAGCACCGGCUAACUUCGUG
RNAcentral lists this ribosomal RNA (492 nucleotides) under uncultured bacterium. RNAcentral's name for it is "partial 16S ribosomal RNA". It matches the Rfam family "Bacterial small subunit ribosomal RNA", at positions 29 to 507 of the family's 1533-position model. The record is from RNAcentral.